AAAUUUAUGCAUUAAUUUACAACACAAGGAGGACAGGAAUAGUUAGUAAACAGCAAUCUUAACUACCAGACGACAUAUUUACAAAGUCCUACAAUUUAAAAACUAAAAGAUCUCACACUCCUAAUUCUUUCUUUUCAAGGUGAGAAAUCAAACCUCCAGAGGGAAACUGGCUGGGUGGGAAUGAUACUGAUACCCGGCGCUAAACUCAAGUCGCAGCAUCAAGCAUCUCUCAUUUCCCCAAAUUAUAAACUUCUCACCCAUCCAAACAAUGAUAUGGCCAUUUAAAGGACUAAUAGUUCUCUAACCACCAACCAUGCCCUGUCCCCUCCACUUUCUCUCCAACAUCCUUCUGCCCCUUCUCUUCCUACCAGGAGACAUGCAGGUAACAGAAGCACGAUUAGAAUGAAACUCUUAUCAGCUCCCACAAUCAAGGACGCAGCCUGACAACUGCUCACGUUCAUUACUGAUGGCAACGUUGCGGUUCGCACUUAAUCGCCGGGCCAUUACACCCGGAAAUGAAAUCUCAAGCGCAACGCACUUCGGACCCCCUUAUCAUUUCCCUAAAUUGCGCCCGACUGCGUGUGCGGGGGGCACGACCCCGAGCGCACAGCGGACCCCCGGGCAGGAUUACCCCACCUCCCGCCUCGGGCCUGCAGGUCACUCGCGCUUCUUGGCCACGAGGCGGGCCCGCGAUCCUCCCCGGGCCGCCGCAGCGGGCGCUCGGCGGGACGCGAGGGCGGCACCGGGGCCAGCCGCCUCCGGGGACCGCGUCCGGACGCGAGGGUCGGUCUCUAGAAGGAGCCCGGGCGGCCCCACGCGUCCCCAGCUAAAUCGCUGUCCUCGUCCAGGAUGGUCUUCCAUGGAUAAAUCAGCCGCUGUGUGACUUCCGGUGGGUGCUGUGCCGCCAUCUUGGCCCACCUGACUUCAGCACAUAAUGUGGGGGAGAGCAGCUUUCAGCAUCUCCAGUUAUAAAAUGUACCAAAUAUUGACAUAAUUACACAGAAAUAAAUAUAGGGUGCUCAAUGAAAAGCUAAGUCCUGGAGAAACUUACAAGGCAAGUGAAAAUAAUCUGACCCUUCAAGUCUUUGCCCUCCUCCAUACACAGACACAGACUGGCAAUUCACAAGUAAAUGCAAGGUUUUCAACAUCCAGCAGUUGGAGUAAUGAAAAAAAAAGCCAGAAGUAAAACACUAUACAGUGCCUUUCCUUGUCCUUUUUUAAACUCAAAAGAGGCCCAAGCAACAACAUUCUCCUUCUGAGUUGAAACCAACAGAGGCCGAGGCUGCCGCGGGACAGUGCUCCUUUCAUGAACUGAGUGAAGACUGGGCUUAUUCAUAGAAGUCGCUGGACAGGUAGACCACACCCUCUCUGGGCUGCUGCUUGUGAACCCGUGGCUAGGCUGGGCCUGGGUGGGAUCACUGACCUCCAGAGGGCAAUAUGGGGUCUGCUUCUGAAGCGGCCUUCCUCUGUGGGAGCACGCUGAGGAGGAAGCUUCAAUGUCAAGUAUGAUCUGUCGCUCUGGAGAGUCAGGCUGUCAGCUCGCCUUUCCUGAGCUGCUGCCGCGUGCCGGGCCUGGGAACAAUACAGGGCAGUCAUGUGGGGAGACAGACACGUACACCCGGAAUCACAAGACGGGCUUUUCAUGCCGCUCGCUCACGUGACGAACACCCACCUCCCCGCGUUUGUGGCAGUUCUACAAUUCCAGUAGAGGAGAGUUUUAGGGGAGCCCAUCUGGUUGGAAGGCGUAGCCAUGGAACUGGAUGGAGCAGUUUCUUCUUAGAUCGUACACUGCACGGUAAUAAAUAUAGCAAAGUUUUCCAAAGAUGCUUUUAUUCAUGUACGUAAGGUUGAAAAAAUGUUGGUUUUCCAUAUUGCAUAUUUCACCCAGUUUAAAAAUCUUUUCUUUAUUUUAUUAUUACAGGGGGAGGUAGGGGAAGCACUGGUGGAGAUUGUAGGAGGCAUCUAAAGACCCCCAAACCCCCUCUUGGGCUGCCUCUAGCCGGGCCUUGCAUUAGGCACAAAAGGAUGGCACCCAACACUGUCCCCAUGGUGGAGGAGGUUACAGUGUUGUGGCGAGUCACUGUGCAAAUAAAAAAGGCAAUACAGGGUAACGAGCGCUGCUCAUUAAUCGUUUACUGGAUGAUUCUUUCAUUGUUUAUUGAGUACUUACUGGAACCAGCUACAGUGCUGGGCCCUGAGGGUACAAGAGUCCUCGUUCCUUGAACUCAUAAGGCAGGGAGAUCCUAGGAGUAGAGUUGCCUGAUAAAAUACAGAUACUCACUUAAAUUUGAAUUUCAGAUAAACAAGGCACAAUUUUUUAGUAUAAGGAUGUCUCAUGCAAUAUGUUGAUUUG
RNAcentral lists this long non-coding RNA (2353 nucleotides) under Equus caballus (horse). RNAcentral describes it as "lncRNA (ENSECAG00000059217.1)". Lineage: Eukaryota; Metazoa; Chordata; Mammalia; Perissodactyla; Equidae. The record is from RNAcentral.